CCUACGGGCGGCAGCAGUGGGGAAUAUUGGACAAUGGGCGAAAGCCUGAUCCAGCCAUGCCGCGUGUGUGAAGAAGGCCUUCGGGUUGUAAAGCACUUUCAGUGGGGAAGAAAGCCUUGGGGCUAAUACCCUCGAGGAAGGACAUCACCCACAGAAGAAGCACCGGCUAACUCCGUGCCAGCAGCCGCGGUAAUACGGAGGGUGCGAGCGUUAAUCGGAAUUACUGGGCGUAAAGCGCGCGUAGGUGGUCUGAUAAGCCGGUUGUGAAAGCCCCGGGCUCAACCUGGGAACGGCAUCCGGAACUGUCAGGCUAGAGUGCAGGAGAGGAAGGUAGAAUUCCCGGUGUAGCGGUGAAAUGCGUAGAGAUCGGGAGGAAUACCAGUGGCGAAGGCGGCCUUCUGGACUGACACUGACGCUGAGGUGCGAAAGCGUGGGUAGCAAACAGGAUUAGAUACCCGGGUAGUC
Molecule: ribosomal RNA, 465 nt
Filed under: Vreelandella stevensii
Lineage: Bacteria; Pseudomonadati; Pseudomonadota; Gammaproteobacteria; Oceanospirillales; Halomonadaceae
Description: partial 16S ribosomal RNA
Rfam family: Bacterial small subunit ribosomal RNA
Source: RNAcentral